UACGAAGGUCCCAAGCGUUGUUCGGAAUCACUGGGCGUAAAGGGAGCGUAGGCGGCGUGGUAAGUCAGAUGUGAAAUCCCGGGGCUCAACCCCGGAACUGCAUCCGAUACUGCCAUGCUUGAGGGUUGGAGAGGUAGCUGGAAUUCUCGGUGUAGCAGUGAAAUGCGUGGAUAUCGAGAGGAACACUCGUGGCGAAGGCGAGCUACUGGACAACAUCUGACGCUGAGGCUCGAAGGCUAGGGGAGCAAAA
This 250-nucleotide ribosomal RNA is filed under the name uncultured bacterium. Its description in RNAcentral is "partial 16S ribosomal RNA". It matches the Rfam family "Bacterial small subunit ribosomal RNA", at positions 524 to 773 of the family's 1533-position model. The record is from RNAcentral.